CAAAACUGGGUGACUAAAGUCAAAGAAAAUGGAGUAUAGCACAUUAAUAGAAUUUUGACUGAAACUGCACCUGUAUUGUGUCUGCAAAGAAUGGAUAGCAGAAGUGGUGAAACAUCAAUAAGAAAUCAGAUAUGCCAAGAGAGGCAUUGGCUUGAGGCAACAAAGGGAUAAAAAGUCCCAAUGAGAAGCCAGUUCCUAAAGAAAAACACACACAAAAAAAAAUUCAUUACUGGAGGACUGGACGUUGAUGGCAUGAUGGAAUGGAGGAGAGGAGGAUGGGGAGGAAGACAGACAAGAUCCGAGAAGACAGUCAUGAGAGAGGACUUUGGAUGUGCGCAGCGUGCCAGAGCUACACAACAGCUGUGUAGCAUCACAAGUCAGUGCCGCUAUGUGAGGCCCCGUUAUAACAGAGAGGAUGACGCCGAGGAAGCUACAGUAGAGCGUGCCGGUAACAUCACCAUGCCCAGGAAAAACAGGAGAAAAUCGUGGUGGCACGGAGAUUAUGUUAUGUAAUAUUUUUCGUAUGUUCCUGUUUCUAUUUUCUUUUGUGCUUAUGUUUUGUUUUGUUGUUGUUGUGAUAGCUGGGUUGGCUAUCACACAAACAGCUCGCCUGCUCGCCUGCCGGUGAGCCGUUUAACCGCAUUCGUCCCCCGAAAUAUUGUUCGUCCCCUGGGUCGAUAUAUUGACAAAUUUUUUGGUCGUCUCCCGAAUUGUUCGUCCUUAGAGACGUUCGUCAAGCAAGGUUUUACUGUAUCAUAUAAAAUGUUAACUAAUACAAGAGUGGCAUUUCAAUUCAUGGACAAAGAUAUGAUGAAAAAAAUCAUCACAAGCAUGAUACAUCCAAAGCUGAAAUAUGCAGCAGUGGUGUGGUCUCCGAGCUCUAAAAUAGAUAUAAAAAGAUUAGAACGGAUUCAGGAGAUUGCUACAAUGAUGGUGCCAGAACUAAAGGACCUAACAUAUGAAGAAAGGCUCAAGGAAAUGGGACUGCCAACCUUAAAAGAUAGAAGAGAAUGAGGAGGCCUAAUAACAAUGUACAAGAUAGUCAAUAAAUCUGAAAAGAUAGACAAGGAAAACCUGGUGCGGGUGACAGAACAAGAUAGGAUAAGAGGACAUGUAAAGAGGAUUAGGAUGAGGCAGUGUGUGGAGGAUAUUAGAAAAUACAGUUUUCCACAUAAAACAGUGGAAAAUUAGAAUGCGAUGAGUGAUAAAGUUGUUAUAGCACAUAAUGCACAUAACUUCAAAGAAAAAUUGGAUAAAUGGAGACAUGGAGACAGAACACUAUGAUCCCCUCUUUAUCCCUGUACAAUACAACUAGGUUAAU
This is a long non-coding RNA of Portunus trituberculatus (swimming crab), 1321 nucleotides long. RefSeq lists it as uncharacterized. The transcript has 3 exons. The record is from RefSeq and is a predicted model, not a curated record. Lineage: Eukaryota; Metazoa; Arthropoda; Malacostraca; Decapoda; Portunidae.